AAGCCAUGAUGUGGGCAUUGAGACCAAUAGCUUUUGAACCUCUCCCAUGCUUCACUAAAUCUCUCUAGGUGCUUCUGCUGAAAGCUAGAGAUCUCAUUCCUGAUCUU
Molecule: non-coding RNA, 107 nt
Organism: Brassica napus (rape)
Lineage: Eukaryota; Viridiplantae; Streptophyta; Magnoliopsida; Brassicales; Brassicaceae
Source: Rfam